AUUGAACGCUGGCGGCAUGCUUUACACAUGCAAGUCGAACGGCAGCGCGGGCUUCGGCCUGGCGGCGAGUAGCGAACGGGUGAGUAAUACAUCGGAACGUGCCCAGUAGUGGGGGAUAGCUCGGCGAAAGCCGGAUUAAUACCGCAUACGACCUGAGGGUGAAAGCGGGGGAUCUUCGGACCUCGCGCUAUUGGAGCGGCCGAUGGCAGAUUAGCUAGUUGGUGGGGUAAAGGCCUACCAAGGCGACGAUCUGUAGCUGGUCUGAGAGGACGACCAGCCACACUGGGACUGAGACACGGCCCAGACUCCUACGGGAGGCAGCAGUGGGGAAUUUUGGACAAUGGGCGAAAGCCUGAUCCAGCAAUGCCGCGUGUGUGAUGAAGGCCUUCGGGUUGUAAAGCACUUUUGGCGGGAACGAAAAGGACCGUGCCAAUACCACGGUUCGAUGACGGUACCCGCAGAAUAAGCACCGGCUAACUACGUG
This 484-nucleotide ribosomal RNA is filed under the name uncultured bacterium. RNAcentral's name for it is "partial 16S ribosomal RNA". It matches the Rfam family "Bacterial small subunit ribosomal RNA", at positions 29 to 507 of the family's 1533-position model. The record is from RNAcentral.